AGUGGCGACCGGGUGAGUAACACGUGACUAACCUACCUUUUAGUGGGGGAUAACAUCGGGAAACCGAUGCUAAUACCGCAUAACAUCGCAAGAUCAAAGCAGCAAUGCGCUGGAAGAGGGGGUCGCGGCUGAUUAGCUAGUUGGCGGGGUAACGGCCCACCAAGGCGAAGAUCGGUAUCCGGCCUGAGAGGGCGCACGGACACACUGGAACUGAAACACGGUCCAGACUCCUACGGGAGGCAGCAGUGGGGAAUUUUGCGCAAUGGGGGAAACCCUGACGCAGCAACGCCGCGUGGAGGAUGAAGCCCCUUGGGGCGUAAACUCCUUUCGACCAAGACGAUAAUGACGGUACUGGUGGAAGAAGCACCGGCUAACUCUGUGCCAGCAGCCGCGGUAAUACAGAGGGUGCAAGCGUUGUUCGGAAUUAUUGGGCGUAAAGGGCGCGUAGGCGGUGCCACAAGUCACUUGUGAAAUCUCCGGGCUUAACUCGGAGCCUGCAGGCGA
Molecule: ribosomal RNA, 504 nt
Filed under: uncultured bacterium
Lineage: Bacteria
Description: bacterial SSU rRNA
Rfam family: Bacterial small subunit ribosomal RNA
Source: RNAcentral